Daphnia pulex (common water flea) is the source of this 1339-nucleotide long non-coding RNA. RefSeq lists it as uncharacterized. Lineage: Eukaryota; Metazoa; Arthropoda; Branchiopoda; Diplostraca; Daphniidae. The record is from RefSeq and is a predicted model, not a curated record. The transcript is spliced from 7 exons.
UUUUCAACUUGACAACUCUAUGAAUGAAUUUAUUUCUUCUGAAAGUCAAAUCAAUGCUGCCACAGCCUUUGGACAGGGACCACAGGGUAUCUCAUCAACCUCAAACUGUCUUAAUAAGAAUAAGGGGAUAUCCUCCCUCUUCCUUCAUUAUCUUAUCGUCGCAUCGUUGCUACUAAUGUGAACAGCAUUCGUUUGAUUGAUCGGAUGGCGGAUGACUCAUUUCUACUUCGUCUUUCUUGAAAUCUUCUCCCCAGAUCUGUCCUCAUGUACAUUCAUGUGAGGGUGAAUGUAUUCACAAGGACGUUCUUCUUCUUCUGGACCUACCUUUACUCUGCGGAUGGAACACGAACACCUGACGAUGUCGAGCGACAAUUUCAAUUUUCAAGGUGCUGUCCCACGAUAAUAGAACAAGUGUAUCUCCCAAACAGCAGUCGGCGACCGACGGGUUUACCGGAAAUGACAGGAGUCGGAACAAAGUGCUAGAUAACAAGGAUCGAGUAAAGUCCACUGUCAUGACGAAUGCGCCCAUUAUGAUCUCAGUUGACCAUUAUACGGCGUCGAAUAUCUCGUUGAUUGUCAGACGGCGUCGAAUAUCUCGUUGAUUGUCAGACGGCGCUUGCCGAUUGCGCAAUGGUUUAUGGGAUGAUGAGUAGACUCGAAUUUACUCACGUCCAUCAAAAUUAAAGUCUAAGCCGGAACAGUGACCUGUAAAUGGACAACAGCUGGUCGGGAUCGGUGAUCCAUUCGUCCAAGAUUUCUUUAGUUGCAGGAUGGCAAAUUUUGGGCUUCGCGGGUGAUGUCGCACCAGUUCCAUUGGACGCCAGAAACCAAAGUAGUUGGGCAGUUCUGCAAAAGAACCCGACAGCUGAUUUUCUUUUGCCGGGAUCGUAGUGGUAACUGCUUCAGUGGUGGUCGGUUGCGGUGGCUCCGUCGUGGUGGUCACGACCGGAUGCAUUUCGUCAAGUUCUUCGAUUGGAUCUUCCCAAUAGUCAUCGUCCGGAUCUUCUCCACUGCCAGACAUGUUAACGAUUGAAACUUCUUGACUUGGGAUAUUUUUGUCGUUCGUCAUUAGUUCUUCAAGUUUUGCUUCAAAUGAAAGUAUAUUUAGAAGAUAUUUGAAAAGAUUUUUUGAAAUUUCUUCUGGAUCUUGUUCUUUCAUAUCUAGAGAGUCAUCUGGAAUGUCAUCAAGAUAGUCACGUACAGAUUCAUCUAGAAAUAAUUCACUGCUAUGCGGAACAGAAUCUAAAGAAUAACCAUAACUUUUCUCUCGGUUCUUCUCAAUGCUAGACUGAUGCUUAUUCUUUGGCGGAAUCUAAUAUAAGAAAUUAUUCAAACAUUA